RNAcentral lists this unclassified non-coding RNA (227 nucleotides) under Hevea brasiliensis (rubber tree). The record is from RNAcentral. Lineage: Eukaryota; Viridiplantae; Streptophyta; Magnoliopsida; Malpighiales; Euphorbiaceae.
CACCCCUUGACUGCAUAGAAGCUUUUGAAUCUGAUUUAAUCCCAUGAAUCACAAUAUAUUUGCCUUUCUGUGCACCAACAUUCUUAUAUUUUGCCUCUACAACCUCCCUAACCUUUCUUGAGAUUGAAACUUUAAGUGGGGGUAAAGGUUGUCGAGGUACUUUACGAGCUGGUCUGCCCAACCAAUCAACCAUCUGACGGUACAUAUGAUAUCCGCCCUCGGAGAGG